CAGACAAGAUGGACCAAGUGGGU
RNAcentral lists this non-coding RNA (23 nucleotides) under Cricetulus griseus (Chinese hamster). Lineage: Eukaryota; Metazoa; Chordata; Mammalia; Rodentia; Cricetidae. The record is from RNAcentral.